AGUUAGAGACUGAUUUCUCUUUGUCCUGUAUUCCAAAUACGUGCUGUCUUCACCCUGUGUUGUUUUGGAGACCUCUGGAGAUGCCCUGACCAACAGCUCAGAGGGAGGUAUCCUGAGCUUUGAAUUGAGAUUUUUUUUUUCAUUUAAUAAUCCUUGUCUUCUGGGAGUGAGCUUGUCCAUCUAUGCAGGCACACCUCUACAGGGAAACCUUUGCUCACAGCUAUCCUGCUGCUUGCCAUGGAGGCUGGAGAUAUGAAAGAACUCUCAGCUACCUCUUGAGAACCAUGUCUGCCUGCCUGCUGCCAUGCUUCCCACCA
Peromyscus maniculatus bairdii (prairie deer mouse) is the source of this 317-nucleotide long non-coding RNA. RefSeq lists it as uncharacterized. The record is from RefSeq and is a predicted model, not a curated record. Lineage: Eukaryota; Metazoa; Chordata; Mammalia; Rodentia; Cricetidae.